This 1512-nucleotide ribosomal RNA is filed under the name Bacillus sp. B2066. Its description in RNAcentral is "16S ribosomal RNA". It matches the Rfam family "Bacterial small subunit ribosomal RNA". Lineage: Bacteria; Bacillati; Bacillota; Bacilli; Caryophanales; Bacillaceae. The record is from RNAcentral.
UUAGAGUUUGAUCCUGGCUCAGGACGAACGCUGGCGGCGUGCCUAAUACAUGCAAGUCGAGCGGACAGAAGGGAGCUUGCUCCCGGAUGUUAGCGGCGGACGGGUGAGUAACACGUGGGUAACCUGCCUGUAAGACUGGGAUAACUCCGGGAAACCGGAGCUAAUACCGGAUAGUUCCUUGAACCGCAUGGUUCAAGGAUGAAAGACGGUUUCGGCUGUCACUUACAGAUGGACCCGCGGCGCAUUAGCUAGUUGGUGAGGUAACGGCUCACCAAGGCGACGAUGCGUAGCCGACCUGAGAGGGUGAUCGGCCACACUGGGACUGAGACACGGCCCAGACUCCUACGGGAGGCAGCAGUAGGGAAUCUUCCGCAAUGGACGAAAGUCUGACGGAGCAACGCCGCGUGAGUGAUGAAGGUUUUCGGAUCGUAAAGCUCUGUUGUUAGGGAAGAACAAGUGCAAGAGUAACUGCUUGCACCUUGACGGUACCUAACCAGAAAGCCACGGCUAACUACGUGCCAGCAGCCGCGGUAAUACGUAGGUGGCAAGCGUUGUCCGGAAUUAUUGGGCGUAAAGGGCUCGCAGGCGGUUUCUUAAGUCUGAUGUGAAAGCCCCCGGCUCAACCGGGGAGGGUCAUUGGAAACUGGGAAACUUGAGUGCAGAAGAGGAGAGUGGAAUUCCACGUGUAGCGGUGAAAUGCGUAGAGAUGUGGAGGAACACCAGUGGCGAAGGCGACUCUCUGGUCUGUAACUGACGCUGAGGAGCGAAAGCGUGGGGAGCGAACAGGAUUAGAUACCCUGGUAGUCCACGCCGUAAACGAUGAGUGCUAAGUGUUAGGGGGUUUCCGCCCCUUAGUGCUGCAGCUAACGCAUUAAGCACUCCGCCUGGGGAGUACGGUCGCAAGACUGAAACUCAAAGGAAUUGACGGGGGCCCGCACAAGCGGUGGAGCAUGUGGUUUAAUUCGAGGCAACGCGAAGAACCUUACCAGGUCUUGACAUCCUCUGACAACCCUAGAGAUAGGGCUUUCCCUUCGGGGACAGAGUGACAGGUGGUGCAUGGUUGUCGUCAGCUCGUGUCGUGAGAUGUUGGGUUAAGUCCCGCAACGAGCGCAACCCUUGAUCUUAGUUGCCAGCAUUCAGUUGGGCACUCUAAGGUGACUGCCGGUGACAAACCGGAGGAAGGUGGGGAUGACGUCAAAUCAUCAUGCCCCUUAUGACCUGGGCUACACACGUGCUACAAUGGACAGAACAAAGGGCUGCGAGACCGCAAGGUUUAGCCAAUCCCACAAAUCUGUUCUCAGUUCGGAUCGCAGUCUGCAACUCGACUGCGUGAAGCUGGAAUCGCUAGUAAUCGCGGAUCAGCAUGCCGCGGUGAAUACGUUCCCGGGCCUUGUACACACCGCCCGUCACACCACGAGAGUUUGCAACACCCGAAGUCGGUGAGGUAACCUUUAUGGAGCCAGCCGCCGAAGGUGGGGCAGAUGAUUGGGGUGAAGUCGUAACAAGGUAACC